ACGGGCGGAGACAGAACUGAGCUCUGGAAAGACAGAGACAGGCAGAGAUGAGCAGAGAGACACACAGAGACCAGAGAGAGAGACGAGACGAGAGGCGCGGAGACGCAGCGGUUAGAAACCUAGAGUCCCCGAGGGCCAAGAGAAGCGAACAGCCCAAUACUCUCCAAGUUCCUCCAUGCUGGCACAAAAGGUACAACCGCUUUGAUUCCCAGUGUUAGCAGCAUGGCCUGUCUGGAUGAAUGUGACUUCUUUAAAUCCUUGGUUGUUAGACUUCUGAGAACUUCCGCCAAGAUGGAGGCAUAGGUGGAUGUGCCGUGCCUUCUCACACAACCAAGUUUAGGGACAACUAAAUAUUAGCAACAGAAAACACAGCCAGAACACGGAAAAUUGAACUUUUCGGAAGUCCGUUAACAACAAAUUCUUCAGCCUGACCGGUAAGGGGCGAAACCAGCGGCUGGCGGAGCAGGGUUGCACAGGAGGA
Molecule: long non-coding RNA, 481 nt
Organism: Artibeus jamaicensis (Jamaican fruit-eating bat)
Lineage: Eukaryota; Metazoa; Chordata; Mammalia; Chiroptera; Phyllostomidae
Exons: 3
Source: RefSeq, a predicted model, not a curated record